GGGAAAGUGGCUCAGUGGUAGAGUACUUGCCUUGCAUGCAUGAGGCCCUGGGUUCAAUUCCUCAGCACCACCU
This 73-nucleotide transfer RNA is filed under the name Dipodomys ordii (Ord's kangaroo rat). It matches the Rfam family "tRNA". From Rfam's summary of the family: Transfer RNA (tRNA) molecules are approximately 80 nucleotides in length. Their secondary structure includes four short double-helical elements and three loops (D, anti-codon, and T loops). Lineage: Eukaryota; Metazoa; Chordata; Mammalia; Rodentia; Heteromyidae. The record is from Rfam by way of RNAcentral.